GGCCUCGUAGCUCAGCUGGUAGUGCGUGCACGUACAAAGCGUAGGCGGUGUCCAUGCGUGGGUUCGAAUCCCACCGAGACCA
Molecule: transfer RNA, 82 nt
Filed under: Echinostoma caproni
Lineage: Eukaryota; Metazoa; Platyhelminthes; Trematoda; Plagiorchiida; Echinostomatidae
Rfam family: tRNA
About the family: Transfer RNA (tRNA) molecules are approximately 80 nucleotides in length. Their secondary structure includes four short double-helical elements and three loops (D, anti-codon, and T loops).
Source: Rfam by way of RNAcentral